AGCGCCACAGAGACCCUGCGGGGCCAACGCAGAGCGGCACGUGGCCCCCAGCCCCCUUAACCCCGGGGCCCCCCCCGGAACACCCACCUGUAGAAGCUGAGGCGGCGCUCGGAGCCCCGGGGUGUCCCGCCCCACUUCCGCCUCCUCCUCAGUCGCGGGGCUGAUGACGUCACUCAGCGGGGACAGCGCGGCGCCACAGCGACGGAGCGGCGCACGCGCUGAGGCGCUGUCGCCAUGGGGAUGCCAUCACGCAUGCGCUGUCGUCACGAGGAUGGCUUCACGCGCUGCAAUGAGGGAGGGCGCACCGUCGCCACGGCAUCAGAUGGAAAACGGCGCUUGGAGACUGCAGCUGCGGGGCAGCAGCUCAGCACAGUGCUGCCGAUGACUGGAGCCGAACGAGGAGCGAAGGCGCUGGCCGGACUCCGUGCCAGGCUCGAACGCGCCUCGAUCCGCGCGAUCGCUCCCUCUCUUCCGGGGCUGCUCGGCUCAGCCAGGAGCCGCUCCCGGACACCGGGCGGGUUCCGCCUCUCGCGGUCAGCCGCCGCUUCUCGCAGCCGGGCAGCGCCUCGCCGCAACGACGGAGGACGGCUCGGUUCCCCCUCCGAGGGCAGCCGGAUUCUGACGGGGGACGGACGGGAUGGUGCCCCCGCGCCGCCUUCCCCUGACCGCCCGGCGUCCCUGAGGCACGGGGAGGGCGGCGGCGGGGACGCGGGGCGGCGGACCGCCGCUUUCCCCGCGCGGAGCCCCGCGGCUCCUCCAUCCCGCCGUCGCCAUCGGCAUCUCCAUGGCGGCGGCCCCGCGUCCGCAGCCGCCAUUGGCGGAGAGCCCGCGCUCGGCCCCGCCUCCUCCGCUCUGCCAUUGGUCGGUGCGCCGAACGGGGCGGGCGCUCCGCGCGGGGUCCUUUCUGUCCACGGGCGCGCCGUCAUUGCGACAUCACCGCGCGCGUCCCCGUGGCCCCGGCCCCGCUGCCCUCACGAUGCCUGCCGUCGUGCGCCCGUUCCGCUUCCGGGCCCCGGCUGCGGCUGCGGGAGGAGAAGGGCGGGGAUGUGGGGGACCUCAGCGGGGCCGGGCCCGCCCCGCCCCGCCCCGCCCCGCUCCGUGCGGGCCUUCCGGGAGAGCGGCGAGCGCGGGCUGGCGGCCGCCGGCAGGUGGGGGAGCGGGGCGUCCGGGUGGGCGGCGCGGCCCAGCGGUGGCGUGGGGAACCCGCUGGAGACGAGCGGCUCCAGGGCACCUUGACGUUCCGCUCCAGGCGGUCGCGGUGCCGGCCCGAGGCCGGCGCUGUGCGGGGCGGGGCUGAGCGCGGGGCGAUCGCCUCCUGCUCCUGCUGCCUUCGCUGCUGCCGGUAAAGCGGGCUUCUCGGCCGCCUGCACAAGGCGCGCUGCUGGCUCACGUUCAGCCGAGCGUC
RNAcentral lists this long non-coding RNA (1405 nucleotides) under Phasianus colchicus (ring-necked pheasant). RNAcentral describes it as "lncRNA (ENSPCLG00000018886.1)". Lineage: Eukaryota; Metazoa; Chordata; Aves; Galliformes; Phasianidae. The record is from RNAcentral.